UGAAAGGGCAUCCUAUCUGACUUCAACAUCUGUCUUCCACUGACUGCCAGUAUUGGCUUGGCAGUCUGGAUGCCUGGCUGUCCCCAUUCUCCUUUAUUCCUCUCCGUGUGUCCCUUCCAAAACUGUGUGCUGUUACAAGAGGAUGACUUUCUCAGGGAGAUGAUGGCUUUGGUGGAUGAAUAGUUGGGCCCCUCUGUUCAAAGCCCCAGAUACCCUUCUAUAAGUUUAUUCAACCUGGAAUAAGAUGGUAG
Unclassified non-coding RNA from Saimiri boliviensis boliviensis (Bolivian squirrel monkey), 251 nucleotides. Its record names the gene 7SK. It matches the Rfam family "7SK RNA". Rfam says of the family: 7SK was discovered as an abundant small nuclear RNA in the mid-70s but a possible function has only recently been suggested. Two independent studies have found that 7SK RNA binds the CDK9/cyclin T complex (known as elongation factor P-TEFb). P-TEFb activates transcription by phosphorylating the C-terminal domain of RNA polymerase II. NCBI's taxonomy places the organism in Eukaryota, Metazoa, Chordata, Mammalia, Primates, Cebidae. The record is from Ensembl.